RNAcentral lists this long non-coding RNA (249 nucleotides) under Malus domestica (apple). RNAcentral describes it as "long non-coding RNA (MDOM_LNC020097)". Lineage: Eukaryota; Viridiplantae; Streptophyta; Magnoliopsida; Rosales; Rosaceae. The record is from RNAcentral.
GAUCUUUGAUCAUGUCAACGGCAUUCCAUCGGAGUGUUCACGGCAUUGUUGGGGUCAAGCUAUCUAGUCAUGUAGGCAUAUGAAUGCACAACAAGGGAUCUCUAGCCUUCCAUGGUGGAAGGAGAAUACUCUAAGAUAUGAUUCGUAAGUCUUUGGCCAAAGCAAAUGAAUAUGACUUAGGAAGUUUGUUCGAAUUCAUAUUCAAAGGAAUCAUAUAGAAAAGUAUCACAUUGGAUAGUAGACAUGAAA